RNAcentral lists this ribosomal RNA (497 nucleotides) under uncultured bacterium. RNAcentral describes it as "partial 16S ribosomal RNA". It matches the Rfam family "Bacterial small subunit ribosomal RNA", at positions 28 to 507 of the family's 1533-position model. The record is from RNAcentral.
GAUGAACGCUGGCGGCGUGCCUAAUACAUGCAAGUCGAGCGAACGGACGAGAAGCUUGCUUCUCUGAUGUUAGCGGCGGACGGGUGAGUAACACGUGGAUAACCUACCUAUAAGACUGGGAUAACUUCGGGAAACCGGAGCUAAUACCGGAUAAUAUUUUGAACCGCAUGGUUCAAAAGUGAAAGACGGUCUUGCUGUCACUUAUAGAUGGAUCCGCGCUGCAUUAGCUAGUUGGUAAGGUAACGGCUUACCAAGGCAACGAUGCAUAGCCGACCUGAGAGGGUGAUCGGCCACACUGGAACUGAGACACGGUCCAGACUCCUACGGGAGGCAGCAGUAGGGAAUCUUCCGCAAUGGGCGAAAGCCUGACGGAGCAACGCCGCGUGAGUGAUGAAGGUCUUCGGAUCGUAUAACUCUGUUAUUAGGGAAGAACAUAUGUGUAAGUAACUGUGCACAUCUUGACGGUACCUAAUCAGAAAGCCACGGCUAGCUACGUG